CCUACGGGGGGCAGCAGUGAGGAAUAUUGGUCAAUGGACGCAAGUCUGAACCAGCCAUGCCGCGUGCAGGAAGACGGCUCUAUGAGUUGUAAACUGCUUUUGUACGGGGGUAAACGCAGAUACGCGUAUCUGUCUGAAAGUAUCGUACGAAUAAGGAUCGGCUAACUCCGUGCCAGCAGCCGCGGUAAUACGGAGGAUUCAAGCGUUAUCCGGAUUUAUUGGGUUUAAAGGGUGCGUAGGCGGUCGGAUAAGUUAGAGGUGAAAUCCCGAGGCUCAACUUCGGAAUUGCCUUUGAUACUGUUCGUCUAGAGAGUAGUUGAGGUAGGCGGAAUGUAUGGUGUAGCGGUGAAAUGCUUAGAGAUCAUACAGAACACCGAUUGCGAAGGCAGCUUACCAAGCUACUUCUGACGUUGAGGCACGAAAGCGUGGGUAUCGAACAGGAUUAGAUACCCCAGUAGUC
RNAcentral lists this ribosomal RNA (460 nucleotides) under uncultured bacterium. RNAcentral's name for it is "partial 16S ribosomal RNA". It matches the Rfam family "Bacterial small subunit ribosomal RNA", at positions 338 to 795 of the family's 1533-position model. The record is from RNAcentral.